RNAcentral lists this long non-coding RNA (1077 nucleotides) under Sus scrofa (pig). RNAcentral describes it as "lncRNA (ENSSSCG00015042379.1)". Lineage: Eukaryota; Metazoa; Chordata; Mammalia; Artiodactyla; Suidae. The record is from RNAcentral.
AUUUGGUGAAUACAAAGAGUUUGCAUGCAGAGGCUUUAAGAAAACAGUUUCUAAAUCAGGUAUUUUGAAUAUGGAAAUGAGAUGAGCAGUAAAUGGGGACUUUAUGCUUCAUUCACUGUAGGCUUUGGAGAGGAUUAGCAUUUCAUGUUUUGAUAAAAAGUUACUAUAUGGGUAGAUUAUAGUGUGUAUAUAUAUAUAUAUACACACAUAUAUAUAUUUAAUUUUUUUUUGUCUUUUUUUAGGGCUGCACUGCAGCAUAUGGAAGUUCUCAGGCUAGGGGUCAACUCAGAGCUACAGCUGCCAGCCUAUGCCACAGCCACAGCAACGCCAGAUCCGAGCCCUGUCUGUGACCUACACCACAGCUCACGGCAAUGCCGGAUCCUUACCCACUGAACGAGGCCAGGGAUCGAACCCGCAACCUCAUGGUUACUAGUCGGAUUCAUUUCCACUGUGCCAUGAGGGGAACUCGAAGGCUGCUUUUUACGCCCUCUCAUUUUUGAGUACUAUAUCCAACAAUGUAGAAAACCCUGAGUAGCAAUCUGAAUUAUGUCAGUUUUGGUCUUAGGUAUAUACUUGUCAAUCAAGCUUUAUAUUUUGCUAAUCCUUUUUUAUUUCCUGUACUUUUAAAUGUUAACAUGAGCAAAUGUCAACAUAUUAGGAAAAGAACCAUCAUAAUCUUGUAAUGCUUCAUUGUGGAUUACAUGUACUUUGGCUGAAAUCUUUUAUUCGUUUAACUGGAUUCUUUCCUUAGAUCACUUUAGACUAUUCAAGUUCCAGAAUGUUACCAACAAGUACUAUUUCUAUUCACUUUUCAGAAUCUUUCAUUAUAAUUCUUAAAAUCAAUUAAUGAUCAAUAUCGGAGUUCCCGUCGUGGCGCAGUGGUUAACGAAUCCGACUAGGAACCAUGAGGUUGCGGGUUCGAUCCCUGCCCUUGCUCAGUGGGUUAACGAUCCGGCGUUGCCGUGAGCUGUGGUGUAGGUUGCAGACGCAGCUCGGAUCCCGUGUUGCUGUGGCUCUGGCGUAGGCUGGUGGCUACAACUCCUAUUCAACCCCUGGCCUGGGAACCUCCAUAUGCCG